Molecule: ribosomal RNA, 253 nt
Filed under: uncultured bacterium
Lineage: Bacteria
Description: partial 16S ribosomal RNA
Rfam family: Bacterial small subunit ribosomal RNA
Source: RNAcentral
UACGGGGGGGGCAAGCGUUGUUCGGAAUUACUGGGCGUAAAGGGCUCGUAGGUGGCCAACUAAGUCACACGUGAAAUCCCUCGGCUUAACCGGGGAACUGCGUGUGAUACUGGAUGGCUUGAGUUUGGGAGAGGGAUGCGGAAUUCCAGGUGUAGCGGUGAAAUGCGUAGAUAUCUGGAGGAACACCGGUGGCGAAGGCGGCAUCCUGGACCAAUACUGACGCUGAGGAGCGAAAGCCAGGGGAGCAAACGGG